UCCAGACUCCUACGGGAGGCAGCAGUGAGGAAUAUUGGUCAAUGGACGAGAGUCUGAACCAGCCAAGUAGCGUGAAGGAUGACUGCCCUAUGGGUUGUAAACUUCUUUUAUAUGGGAAUAAAAUGUUCCACGUGUGGGAUUUUGUAUGUACCAUAUGAAUAAGGAUCGGCUAACUCCGUGCCAGCAGCCGCGGUAAUACGGAGGAUCCGAGCGUUAUCCGGAUUUAUUGGGUUUAAAGGGAGCGUAGAUGGGUUGUUAAGUCAGUUGUGAAAGUUUGCGGCUCAACCGUAAAAUUGCAAUUGAUACUGGCAGCCCUGAGUACAGUUGAGGUAGGCGGAAUUCGUGGUGUAGCGGUGAAAUGCUUAGAUAUCACGAAGAACUCCGAUUGCGAAGGCAGCUUACCGGCGCCCAACUGACGCUGAAGCACGAAAGCGUGGGUAUCGAACAGGAUUAGAUACCCCAGUAC
RNAcentral lists this ribosomal RNA (466 nucleotides) under uncultured bacterium. RNAcentral describes it as "bacterial SSU rRNA". It matches the Rfam family "Bacterial small subunit ribosomal RNA", at positions 330 to 793 of the family's 1533-position model. The record is from RNAcentral.